RNAcentral lists this ribosomal RNA (821 nucleotides) under Ansonia leptopus (Matang stream toad). Its description in RNAcentral is "partial 16S ribosomal RNA". It matches the Rfam family "Bacterial large subunit ribosomal RNA", at positions 1212 to 2570 of the family's 2925-position model. Lineage: Eukaryota; Metazoa; Chordata; Amphibia; Anura; Bufonidae. The record is from RNAcentral.
GGGGGUUAUCACGCCUAAUCACUAAAAUUUCAUCUMAAUCCCAUAUUAAUAAUGAGUAAUUCUAUACCAUUAUAGAAAAUUUUAUGUUAAAACUAGUAACAAGAAGAAGAACCUUCUCUUAAAUGUAAGUGUAAAUCAGAAAGGACAGGCCACUGAUAAUUAACACCCAUGAACAUAAAGUAGUAACUAACCAAGAAAAACCUACUCUCACCAGCGUUAAUCUAACACAAGAGCAUUAUAAGAAAGAUUAAAAAAAUAAGAAGGAACUCGGCAAAUCUUAACCUCGCCUGUUUACCAAAAACAUCGCCUCUUGACAAACACUAAAAUAAGAGGUCCAGCCUGCCCAGUGACUCUGUUCAACGGCCGCGGUAUCCUAACCGUGCGAAGGUAGCGUAAUCACUUGUUCUUUAAAUAAGGACUAGUAUGAAUGGCACCACGAAGGUUAUACUGUCUCCUUUAUUUGAUCAGUGAAACUAAUCUUCCCGUGAAGAAGCGGGAAUAAACAUAUAAGACGAGAAGACCCUAUGGAGCUUUAAACAACAUAGCAUAAAUACAAAAAUUUCUGAAGGUAAAAUGUAUAUAAGUUUUUGGUUGGGGUGACCACGGAGCAUAACAUAACCUCCAUGUUGAAAGAAUUCYUAACAAAGAACUACUUUUCUAAGCAUCAACAUUUUGACAUACAUUGACCCAAUUAUUUUGAGCAACGAACCAAGUUACCCUAGGGAUAACAGCGCAAUCCACUUUAAGAGCCCCUAUCGCCAAGUGGGUUUACGACCUCGAUGUUGGAUCAGGGUUUCCAAGUGGUGCAGCCGSUACUAAAG